This 217-nucleotide ribosomal RNA is filed under the name uncultured eukaryote. RNAcentral's name for it is "partial 18S ribosomal RNA". It matches the Rfam family "Eukaryotic small subunit ribosomal RNA", at positions 1299 to 1458 of the family's 1831-position model. The record is from RNAcentral.
UGGUGGAGUGAUUUGUCUGGUUGAUUCCGAUAACGAACGAGACCUUGACCUACUAAAUAGUUGAAGGAAUGAUCUAAUACGGGUGAAGCAUGGCUAUUGGGUUGAGUUGGGCAACUGGCUCUCCCAAUUAAAGUGUGAAUCCUUGAUUCUAUUCCUUUUAUUACUUCUUAGAGGGACUACUAGAAACAGAAGCUAGUGGAAGUACGAGGCAAUAACA